UUCAAAAAAAAAAAAAAAAACUUGCAGAAAGUCUCAUUGUCUUUGAUGGAUCAUCUGAGUUCAACUUCAACUUCUCUUCCACAGGUAGGCUAAAGAACUCGAUCUAUGGCCACUUCUAACAUUUUUUUCUACUGCCUCCAAAGACACCCCAUGAUUGGUCACCUAGUUAUAUGCCAAAGAAAAAAAAUGACAAAUUAACUUUAUGUGUGGAUGAGAGAGUAGAAGUGAGUGAGUUCUAUAUGGGGUGUCUUUCGAGGCAGUAGAAAAAAUGUUAGAAGUGCCUACUGAGUUCUUUAGCCUACCUGUGGCAGAGAAGUUGAAGUUGUAUACUCAGAUCCAUCAAAGACAAUGAGACUUUCUACAAGUUUUAAUGCGAACAAGGUUCACAAUUAGAGAUACUAUCUUGGACUUCAUUGUUGUCCUUUGGACAAAUAUGUGCCUGAGUGGCCUUCCAAUCCCACUGAUUUCAAGCCAGAAUCAGACCGACCCCGGCUAUCUGAAUACUCUGCUCGUGCUGAUGUUCCUGUCAUUGACUUGGGUUUAGAGGAUAGAACCCUAGUUUUCAAACUAAUUGCAGAGGCCUGCAAAUCCUAUGGCUUUUUUCGGGGUGUCUUUGGAGGCAGUAGAAAAAAUGUUAGAAGUGGCCACAGAUCGAGUUCUUUAGCCUACCUGUGGAAAAGAAGUUGAAGUUGUACUCAGAUGACCCAUCAAAGACACUGAGACUUUCUACAAUUGGAGACUAUCUUAGAAUUCAUUGUUAUCCUACGGACAAAUAUGUGCCUGAUUGGCCUUCCAAUUUCCCUGAUUUCAAGAUUGUUCAUACACCAAAGAGAAGAAAAUCAUGAGCAUAGAAAGAUUGCUAUCACUCUAGCAGCAAUUAUAGCAUCUUUAGAUUCAAUUAAGCUUAGAAGUCUUGUUUUGCUCUCUAUCAUAUGUCAAAGGAAUUGUAGAUUUUUGGUUAUGUUUGUAACAUUGAUCAUUCAUGCACACCAACAGAAAAGCUAUUGUUGUAAAUAAAUUAUUA
This is a long non-coding RNA of Quercus lobata, 1024 nucleotides long. RefSeq lists it as uncharacterized. The record is from RefSeq and is a predicted model, not a curated record. The transcript is spliced from 4 exons. NCBI's taxonomy places the organism in Eukaryota, Viridiplantae, Streptophyta, Magnoliopsida, Fagales, Fagaceae.